RNAcentral lists this small nucleolar RNA (134 nucleotides) under Peromyscus maniculatus bairdii (prairie deer mouse). RNAcentral's name for it is "Small nucleolar RNA SNORA63 (ENSPEMG00000004976.2)". Lineage: Eukaryota; Metazoa; Chordata; Mammalia; Rodentia; Cricetidae. The record is from RNAcentral.
GAGCAGGAUCUAGGUACAAUGUAGCUGUGAAGUGCUGCAUUGGCUUUUACCCCCUGCUCAAAAGGAAACUGUGACCUUCCGAGCCCCCUGCCUGCUGUGGUACCCAGGCAGCGGGGAUGCUGGAUCUCAUACAG